CUCCAUUUAACUAUCAGUUGUGAUUCCAAAAUAUAACUGAGGUUACCAUGUGAGACCCCCCCAGCUUUGACUCCAACCCGCAAUGUCUUAACCCAUGUUCACCCGGCACCCUCCUAAUGACAUCUAUACAUUUUUGCAUCUAAUUUACUCAUCGCCCUUUGUUUCUGUGUUGACAUGAGGCCUGGGCACUUCUGAUCUGGACAUAAAUUGUCAUUUUGCCAUUUUCUAUCAGAAAUCCAAUCUCACCAAGCAUAUUACGAUUUUCUGAUUUCACGAAUGUUCAUGGGGGCCGCAUUUCUUUUGGGAAGACCCUCCCACUACGCAUAGCCCUGGGGUGCGUUUCCAGUAUCCCACUCCAGAGGUUUCUCUCCUAGGGAGCAGUGGUUGCUCGCCCAUCUGUUCUCUCCAGCUUCCACAGAAACUCUAGUGGAUAUAAAUGACCUUCAAAUACCCUGAUGAUGAUUCUCACUUCCUCCCACAUCCAGCUCCCCCUCAUACCACAGACCUCCUGUGUCCCUUCCUCUAAACUCUUAGAACUCUUUCUCCCAAAUCCAAGUAAGGAUGUGCUUCUCUUCACUCUGCAUGUCUCUGGACCUGAGGGGAAGGAACUGAAGAGGCAAAACUCUUUAGCGGUUUAAGAUGACUUAUUGUUGGCUGAGGUCAUAACUUUACAACAGAACAGAAAGGCAAGUAGCAGCAAAAUCGUGGCACAAACGCCAGCCAAGAGCUUGGAGGCUCUUGACGGAAGAAGUCAGAUGAAUUCAGAAGCUUAAAGUAAGAAUGGAAUUUCCCACGGAAACAGCAACAACUGUAGUAUGUCGGGUACCGCUAAGCAACUUUAACGAAAGACCCAAUAAGAUUGCCAGAAGGUGGACUUUAUAUCUCUCACACAGAAAAGUCUGGCUCUGCCCCAACUUGUCAUUCGAAGACCAGGUUCCUUUCAUCCCCUAGACAGACAUUACCAUCAUGUUCAUGGUCAAGGUGCAGUUGUAAUGGGUUUCUGUCAGUGGAAAGUGGAAAACAGUGUAGGGGAGGUAAGGUGUAGCCCCUCAAUUCUGUUCCCAUUCCCUUGGCAGGGAUUUAAUGACAUGGCCACAUUCCUUUGCAAAGGCUGGGAAAUUUACUGUUACCGGGCAGGGAUAGGUUCACCUUCAAUCCUA
This 1160-nucleotide long non-coding RNA is filed under the name Felis catus (domestic cat). RNAcentral describes it as "lncRNA (ENSFCAG00000049225.1)". The record is from RNAcentral. Lineage: Eukaryota; Metazoa; Chordata; Mammalia; Carnivora; Felidae.